UGCGUAGGCGGUUUGUUAAGUCUGUUGUGAAAUCCCCGGGCUCAACCUGGGAAUGGCAAUGGAUACUGACAAGCUAGAGUGUGUCAGAGGAUGGUGGAAUUUCCGGUGUAGCGGUGAAAUGCGUAGAGAUCGGAAGGAAUAUCAGUGGCGAAGGCGGCCAUCUGGGACAACACUGACGCUGAAGCACGAAAGCUGGGGAGCAAACA
RNAcentral lists this ribosomal RNA (206 nucleotides) under uncultured bacterium. RNAcentral describes it as "partial 16S ribosomal RNA". It matches the Rfam family "Bacterial small subunit ribosomal RNA", at positions 568 to 774 of the family's 1533-position model. The record is from RNAcentral.